This 253-nucleotide ribosomal RNA is filed under the name uncultured bacterium. Its description in RNAcentral is "partial 16S ribosomal RNA". It matches the Rfam family "Bacterial small subunit ribosomal RNA", at positions 524 to 776 of the family's 1533-position model. The record is from RNAcentral.
UACGUAGGUGGCAAGCGUUGUCCGGAUUUAUUGGGUUUAAAGGGUGCGUAGGCGGUCUAUUAAGUCAGUUGUAAAAUACGGCAGCUCAACUGUCGAGGUGCAAUUGAUACUGAUGGACUUGAGUACUGAUGAGGUAAGCGGAAUGGACGGUGUAGCGGUGAAAUGCUUAGAUAUCGUCCAGAACACCAAUAGCGAAGGCAGCUUACUAAGGAGUAACUGACGCUGAGGCACGAAAGUGUGGGGAUCAAACAGG